GGUCUUGGAUGGGCUCACGGCCUAUCAGCUUGUUGGUGAGGUAAUGGCUCACCAAGGCGACGACGGGUAGCCGGCCUGAGAGGGUGACCGGCCACACUGGGACUGAGACACGGCCCAGACUCCUACGGGAGGCAGCAGUGGGGAAUAUUGCACAAUGGGCGAAAGCCUGAUGCAGCGACGCCGCGUGAGGGAUGACGGCCUUCGGGUUGUAAACCUCUUUCAGCAGGGAAGAAGCCACAAGUGACGGUACCUGCAGAAGAAGCGCCGGCUAACUACGUGCCAGCAGCCGCGGUAAUACGUAGGGCGCAAGCGUUGUCCGGAAUUAUUGGGCGUAAAGAGCUCGUAGGCGGUUUGUCGCGUCUGCUGUGAAAGCCCGGGGCUUAACCCCGGGUGUGCAGUGGGUACGGGCAGACUAGAGUGCAGUAGGGGAGACUGGAAUUCCUGGUGUAGCGGUGGAAUGCGCAGAUAUCAGGAGGAACACCGAUGGCGAAGGCAGGUCUCUGGGCUGUUACUGACGCUGAGGAGCGAAAGCAUGGGGAGCGAACAGGAUUAGAUACCCUGGUAGUCCAUGCCGUAAACGUUGGGCACUAGGUGUGG
Molecule: ribosomal RNA, 597 nt
Filed under: Kocuria palustris
Lineage: Bacteria; Bacillati; Actinomycetota; Actinomycetes; Micrococcales; Micrococcaceae
Description: bacterial SSU rRNA
Rfam family: Bacterial small subunit ribosomal RNA
Source: RNAcentral